Non-coding RNA from Nasonia vitripennis (jewel wasp), 45 nucleotides. Lineage: Eukaryota; Metazoa; Arthropoda; Insecta; Hymenoptera; Pteromalidae. The record is from Rfam.
CAAUCGGCCCUUUUCAGGGCCACUAUUUAACUAUAUACAUUUUUU